UUAACUUUUUCAUAUUUUGUUUUUAUUUACAGAAAUCAGUUUGAAUAUCUUUGUUUUUUUGUAAUUCCAUCGCUGUGACGGGAGUGUUAAAAAUGAACAAAGAUAGGUUUCAUUAGUAUUGCAGACUCCUAUAUAGAAUAAAAACAUUUUUCUCAACCAACAUUAAAAUAUAUAUACAUUUUUAAAUGUACAAUACUCAAAGUACUACUAAAGUAGUUUCAUUUAUCUUCUAUAAAACCUCUAAUGUGGUGUGCUGAGCAAUAUAUUAACACUGAUGAUUAGUGCAAUGCUCCAUAAUACCAUAACCAGUUAAAAACAUGAGAUAUUCAACACACAUCCAUACUUCACACUGCUUUGUACCUUUCUCCUUGCAGGCUUGUGUCCACGGAAAGGUUAUUUAUUCUGUAGCAAUAAAAGGCCCCAAGAAAGGCAGCGGGUUGUAUAGUUACCUCCUCCUGGGCAAAAAAACAGCCCUAAAACUAUGCAACCUACUACCUCUUCCUAGAAACCCACUUCUUUCUACUUAUCUUGCAUCUGCAAAUGCGUCUUUAAAAUCACAGUAAACGUCACAUUAAGAGUGUCAUUGUGAGGUCCCCAGAUAAUAUUGUACUACUAAUCUUCUCCAGUGAAUGUCUAAUACAGAAUAUAUGGAUGCCAAAGUUCGACAUGCCUGCCUUGCUCGACAAUAAACCGAUUUACAAAAAUACACAAAUGGCAAAUACAGGAUUAUUGAAAUUCACAGGGUUAUUCAUUAAAAAUUGUCAAGAAUUCAAAAUUAUUUCAAAGUGAAUUUUCAAAUUUUACUGCAAAAAAGCUGAAACGCUGAAAAAAUUCUCCUAAUCAGCUAUGGUUUUGGUUUGGCCAUUUUGCCUAGAAUUUGAAAUUCCUUUUGAGUUUGCUUGGAAUUCCCUACAAUUCACAUUUUGGUGAAAACCCUGAGGUUUACAAAUGAUCCCAACUUUGGUUCUGCUCAUUGUAAAUAGGAAAGAUGUCUGAUUAUAGCCUUCUUCAGAAUUUUUUGCAUGCAACAAUUGUAUUGGGUCACCAGAGGGCACUACACAACAACAAAAAACCCCCAUAGAAUUCCUGGAAAAACAACACAAGUAUGGACAUAUUAAUAAUUUAAUGGCAUUGUUGAACGUCCACUCCUCAAGGAAGGCAAUAGAUUGUAUAGUUAUCUCCUAAACAAGGUAAAAUCACUACCUCACAACUAUACAAUCUACUACCUCACCCUGACAGAGCAACUGGAAAGAGCAAAGCUAUUACCAUGUCACAGCAUGGACGGACAAAUCUCCUUCAUAUUUAUUCACAAAAAUAUAUCAACUAUUUAUAGUAAAACAGAUCAAUAAUUUGGAAGUAAAAAAUACAUGUAAUUUUAACAGCAGAAAACAAUUCAUUUGAGACCUCGAGACCUUGAGACUCCGAUG
Molecule: non-coding RNA, 1427 nt
Organism: Pelobates cultripes (western spadefoot toad)
Lineage: Eukaryota; Metazoa; Chordata; Amphibia; Anura; Pelobatidae
Source: the annotation of a GenBank genome assembly